RNAcentral lists this ribosomal RNA (253 nucleotides) under Faecalibacterium prausnitzii. RNAcentral describes it as "partial 16S ribosomal RNA". It matches the Rfam family "Bacterial small subunit ribosomal RNA", at positions 524 to 776 of the family's 1533-position model. The record is from RNAcentral. Lineage: Bacteria; Bacillati; Bacillota; Clostridia; Eubacteriales; Oscillospiraceae.
UACGUAUGGUGCAAGCGUUAUCCGGAUUUAUUGGGUGUAAAGGGUGCGUAGGUGGCAGUGCAAGUCAGAUGUGAAAGGCCGGGGCUCAACCCAUGAACUGCUUUCAAAACUGUUUUUCUUGAGUAGUGCAGAGGUAGGCGGAAUUCCCGGUGUAGCGGUGGAAUGCGUAGAUAUCGGGAGGAACACCAGUGGCGAAGGCGGCCUACUGGGCACCAACUGACGCUGAGGCUCGAAAGUGUGGGUAGCAAACAGG